CGGGAUUUACGUAAGAGGAGAGGAAAAGCAGGAAGGAGGAGGAAGAACAAAGGCUGUCGCCUCGCGACCUGCGUUCCUGUCCUUGGCUGUUCCUGGAAAAUUGCUGUCAUGUCUGGCUAGAUCUUCUGUCUGUGUCCCUGGCCGGGGCCGUGCCACUUUCUGCACUGGGAUUUCUGGGAGAUAACAACCGGAGAGCAAUCUUGUACAGUCCCCCGACAGGACGUGUACAGUGCACUGCCGCAUACCUCAGUUCUGAGGGCUGGUGACACCAUCCAGCCCCCUCACCAACAGCCUCUCCUUGCCUCACGUAAUUUCUAUCUCUGAAUAUCAAAAGUCCUACCGAUGAAACAGCCG
RNAcentral lists this long non-coding RNA (354 nucleotides) under Fukomys damarensis (Damara mole-rat). RNAcentral describes it as "lncRNA (ENSFDAG00000027604.1)". Lineage: Eukaryota; Metazoa; Chordata; Mammalia; Rodentia; Bathyergidae. The record is from RNAcentral.